AACGAACGCUGGCGGCAUGCCUAACACAUGCAAGUCGAACGAGACCUUCGGGUCUAGUGGCGCACGGGUGCGUAACGCGUGGGAACCUGCCCUUAGGUUCGGAAUAACUCCCCGACAGGGGUGCUAAUACCGGAUAAUGUCUUCGGACCAAAGAUUUAUCGCCUUUGGAUGGUCCCGCGUUGGAUUAGCUAGUUGGUAGGGUAAAAGCCUACCAAGGCGACGAUCCAUAGCUGGUCUGAGAGGAUGAUCAGCCACACUGGGACUGAGACACGGCCCAGACUCCUACGCGAGGCAGCAGUGGGGAAUAUUGGAACAUGGGGGAAAGCAUGAUCCAGCAAUGCCGCGUGAGUGAUGAAGGCCUUAGGGUUGUAAAGCUCUUUUACCCGGGAUGAUAAUGACAGUACCGAGAGAAUAAGCUCCGGCUAACUCCGUG
Molecule: ribosomal RNA, 433 nt
Filed under: uncultured bacterium
Lineage: Bacteria
Description: partial 16S ribosomal RNA
Rfam family: Bacterial small subunit ribosomal RNA
Source: RNAcentral